Molecule: ribosomal RNA, 306 nt
Filed under: uncultured bacterium
Lineage: Bacteria
Description: partial 16S ribosomal RNA
Rfam family: Bacterial small subunit ribosomal RNA
Source: RNAcentral
GACAGCAGCCGCCGCGGGAAUACAGAGGGUGCGAGCGUUAAUCGGAUUUACUGGGCGUAAAGCGUGCGUAGGCGGCUAAUUGAGUCGGAUGUGAAAUCCCCGAGCUUAACUUGGGAAUUGCAUUCGAUACUGGUUAGCUAGAGUGUGGGAGAGGAUGGUAGAAUUCCAGGUGUAGCGGUGAAAUGCGUAGAGAUCUGGAGGAAUACCGAUGGCGAAGGCAGACAUCUGGCCUAACACUGACGCUGAGGUACGAAAGCAUGGGGAGCAAACAGGAUUAGAUACCCGCGUAGUCCCUGUCUCUUAUAC